Molecule: non-coding RNA, 188 nt
Filed under: Virgibacillus profundi
Lineage: Bacteria; Bacillati; Bacillota; Bacilli; Caryophanales; Bacillaceae
Description: 6S RNA
Rfam family: 6S / SsrS RNA
About the family: E. coli 6S RNA was the first non coding RNA to be sequenced, but its function was unknown until recently. It consists of 184 nucleotides that fold into an extended hairpin structure with a large single-stranded internal bulge. The 6S RNA specifically associates with RNA polymerase holoenzyme containing the sigma70 specificity factor.
Source: RNAcentral
UACAAGCUACGAUGUACGUAUUCAAUUAAGUUUUAACCUCUAACAGAUGAAUAGGGAGUUUUACAUCGGAACUAAAAUGUCGAGCCGUCGUAGAGUAACGGAAGGCAGGAGGGUUUCUGCAAACACCCACUUGGAGAAGUGGUGGUUUAAAACUUUUUAUUAUAUAAUACGGCAAUUGUGGCCUGUAA